GCUGGGCACAGUGGUGCACACCUGUAGUCCCAGCUACUCGAGAUGCUGAGGCAGGAGGAUUGCUCAAGUCCAGGCAUUCUAGGCUAUCGUGCACUAUGCAGAUCAGAUUUCCACACUUAAUUUGGCAUGAAUAUGACUGGCAGUCGCCAGGGAACAGGGGAAACACCAGUUUGCCUAAGGAGGGGUGAAUUGGCCAAGGUCAGAAAUGGAGCAGGUCAACUCUUGUGUUAAUCAGUGGUAGGAUGAUGCCUGUGAAUAGCCACUGUACUCCAGCUUGGGCAACAGAGUGAGACUCCCUGUUUU
This 303-nucleotide signal recognition particle RNA is filed under the name Neotoma lepida (desert woodrat). RNAcentral's name for it is "Metazoan signal recognition particle RNA". It matches the Rfam family "Metazoan signal recognition particle RNA". From Rfam's summary of the family: The signal recognition particle (SRP) is a universally conserved ribonucleoprotein. The record is from Rfam by way of RNAcentral. Lineage: Eukaryota; Metazoa; Chordata; Mammalia; Rodentia; Cricetidae.